GAUGAACGCUAGCGGCAGGCCUAAUACAUGCAAGUCGAGCGGCAAGUCGAGGAGUAAUCUAAGACCUAGAGCGGCGCACGGGUGCGUAACGCGUAUGCAACCUACCUCAUACAGGGGGAUAGCCCGGAGAAAUCUGGAUUAAUACCCCAUGGGACUGCGAAGAGGCAUUUCUAUGCAGUUAAAGAUUCAUCGGUAUGAGAUGGGCAUGCGUCUGAUUAGCUAGUUGGCGUGUAACGGACCACCAAGGCGACGAUCAGUAGGGGUUCUGAGAGGAAGGUCCCCCA
Molecule: ribosomal RNA, 284 nt
Filed under: uncultured Bacteroidota bacterium
Lineage: Bacteria; Pseudomonadati; Bacteroidota
Description: uncultured Bacteroidetes bacterium partial 16S ribosomal RNA
Rfam family: Bacterial small subunit ribosomal RNA
Source: RNAcentral